RNAcentral lists this ribosomal RNA (476 nucleotides) under uncultured bacterium. RNAcentral's name for it is "bacterial SSU rRNA". It matches the Rfam family "Bacterial small subunit ribosomal RNA", at positions 501 to 981 of the family's 1533-position model. The record is from RNAcentral.
CUACGUGCCAGCAGCCGCGGUAAUACGGAGGGUCCGGGCGUUAUCCGGAUUUAUUGGGUUUAAAGGGAGCGUAGGCGGAUUGUUAAGUCAGCGGUUAAAGGGUGUGGCUCAACCAUGCAUUGCCGUUGAAACUGGCGAUCUUGAGUGCAGACAGGGAUGCCGGAAUUCGUGGUGUAGCGGUGAAAUGCUUAGAUAUCACGAAGAACUCCGAUUGCGAAGGCAGCUGACGGGAGCGCAACUGACGCUUAAGCUCGAAGGUGCGGGUAUCGAACAGGAUUAGAUACCCUGGUAGUCCGCACAGUAAACGAUGGAUGCCCGCUGUUGGUACCUGGUAUCAGCGGCUAAGCGAAAGCAUUAAGCAUCCCACCUGGGGAGUACGCCGGCAACGGUGAAACUCAAAGGAAUUGACGGGGGCCCGCACAAGCGGAGGAACAUGUGGUUUAAUUCGAUGAUACGCGAGGAACCUUACCCGGGCU